CCCGUUCGGGCUGCAGCUGCGGGCGGCAGCGCGCUGGCGCCAGGCGAACCCGCGGGGACGAGGAACGUGGGCAGAGACCCGGCCGAGCCCGCGGCCGAGCCCUAGGCACGGCGGCUGGAAAACUGGAAAAAUAGGGCCCCUAAUUCUUCGGCCACCGAGGGCCGCAAAGGCCCAGCGCCGCCGCCUCGCCCUGCUCCGGCCCCUGCCCCUCGGCGGCCGCGGGCUCCGGGUGAGUGCGGCCCCGUGCACAGCCCGCAGAGCCCGAGCCCGCACCUCCCCGGGAGCCGCGAGUCGUGAGCGGGACGAAGCCGGCGGCGGACGGAACACCGGAACGGCGCUAAUCGUUACCGGGGCCGCGGCAGCGCGGGGCUUCUCUCCGCGCACCGGCGACACGGGACAGCGCCGAGCGCUGAGUCGGGCCCCCUGAAACCCGGUUAUGGCGACAGCGUUUCCCGGUGCGCGGUCGGAACCGGGCGGUCCGAGGACAGGAGAAGGGAGGGCGGCCCCGGGAGCGGGCAGGGAGCGAUCCGCCGCAAUCGCUGCGCGGGUUUCAAGGCGGCGCGGUGGGGAACGAUGCGGUGCUCCCGGGCCGCCUCCGUGUCCGCCGGGCGAAGGGGACCGGCAGAAACCGAACUGCGGCCAUCUGCGCGGGACGUGGGCCCUCUUCCCGGGGCUGCGCCGCCGGUAAAUGCGUUUCGCCGUUGAGGUCGGAGCGGUGGGACGCAGGGAAACGAAGGUACCGCCACGGCCGGUAAAUGGCGGAGCCGCCGCCCGGUACCGACCCGAGAGAGGUACCGACACUCACCUGCCCGCCGUGCGCCCGGCUCCCCGCCGCCUCGCCUCGGCGCCGAUCCGAGUCCUGCGGGGCGGCAGCAUUUUAAUCACAACGAAAUUUCCCACCCGGCCCCCCCCGCCCGCCACUUGGCGCGCCCGAUCCGCGCUCCGUGGAGGCGUUGAGCCCUUCGAGCGCCCCGGGGGCCGCGGGGCCCCGUCAUGGGGUCCCGGUACCGCCCGCCGCAG
This 1020-nucleotide long non-coding RNA is filed under the name Gallus gallus (chicken). RNAcentral's name for it is "lncRNA (ENSGALG00010022882.1)". Lineage: Eukaryota; Metazoa; Chordata; Aves; Galliformes; Phasianidae. The record is from RNAcentral.